ACGGAGGGUGCGAGCGUUAUCCGGAAUCACUGGGUUUAAAGGGUGCGUAGGCGGGGAAUUAAGUCAGUGGUGAAAGCCUGUCGCUUAACGAUAGAAUUGCCAUUGAUACUGAUUUUCUUGAAUUGGGUUGAGGUUAGCGGAAUGUGACAUGUAGCGGUGAAAUGCAUAGAUAUGUCAUGGAACACCAAUUGCGAAGGCAGCUAACUGGGCCUUGAUUGACGCUGAGGCACGAAAGCGUGGGUAGCGAACAGGAUUAGAUACCCUGGUAGUCCACGCCCUAAACGAUGCUAACUCGAUGUUUGGGCUAUAGGCUUGAGCAUCCAAGGGAAACCGAUAAGUUAGCCACCUGGGGAGUACGUCCGCAAGGAUG
This 370-nucleotide ribosomal RNA is filed under the name uncultured bacterium. RNAcentral describes it as "bacterial SSU rRNA". It matches the Rfam family "Bacterial small subunit ribosomal RNA", at positions 525 to 896 of the family's 1533-position model. The record is from RNAcentral.